GUUUAAUUCGAUGCAACGCGAAGAACCUUACCUACUCUUGACAUCCACGGAAUUCGCCAGAGAUGGCUUAGUGCCUUCGGGAACCGUGAGACAGGUGCUGCAUGGCUGUCGUCAGCUCGUGUUGUGAAAUGUUGGGUUAAGUCCCGCAACGAGCGCAACCCUUAUCCUUUGUUGCCAGCACGUAAUGGUGGGAACUCAAAGGAGACUGCCGGUGAUAAACCGGAGGAAGGUGGGGAUGACGUCAAGUCAUCAUGGCCCUUACGAGUAGGGCUACACACGUGCUACAAUGGCAUAUACAAAGAGAAGCGAACUCGCGAGAGCAAGCGGACCUCAUAAAGUAUGUCGUAGUCCGGAUUGGAGUCUGCAACUCGACUCCAUGA
Molecule: ribosomal RNA, 380 nt
Filed under: Rahnella sp. D-00
Lineage: Bacteria; Pseudomonadati; Pseudomonadota; Gammaproteobacteria; Enterobacterales; Yersiniaceae
Description: bacterial SSU rRNA
Rfam family: Bacterial small subunit ribosomal RNA
Source: RNAcentral